CGCUUCAUUGUUAAUAUACUCAAAAUCCACAUUUAUUUUCUUCCAUUUUUGGUUGGUUUUGAAUGUAAGUUGUAACACUGAAGUGUUUGGGGGGACUCAUGGUGCCAUUCUGGCGUUGAAGUGUUAAUUAACUGUUGCACAGUUUCUUAAUUUCUUAAAGUAUUAUAUUACCAAUUAGUUCUCAUACUUUUUUGAAAUGUCUUCAUGGAUUUUAUAUUUUGAAUGGUAUGGACCGUAUGGUAUAACCCUAUGUGCAUGUAUAUUAGAAAUUGCCAAAAAUACCAUUUUCAUAGUACCACUUUUCAUGUUUACACUAACCACUAUUUUUAAUGAAGGGUUUAGAUUUUUAAUGAAGGAUUUAGAUUUGAAGGUUUAGGAUUUAUGGUUUAGAUUUGAUGUUUUAGAGUUUAAGCUAUAUAGUUUAGAGUUUAGAGUUGAGGAUUUAGGGUUUAUAGUUUAGAUUUUAGGGUUUAGGGUUUAAGAUAUUGAAUUUAGGGUAUAUAGUUUAGGGUUUAGAGUUGAAGAUUUUGGGUUUAGGGUUUAGAAUUGGAGGUUUAGGAUUUAGAAUUUGAGAUUAAAAUUUUGAAAAGCAUAUAACAAAGAUAUGGUUGGGAGCAUCGCAAAAUUUGAUAUCUGGACUGGUGAGUCCUUAGUUUUAUCUUGUUUUGAGGCAUAUAUGAGCUGAAGAUCACUAGCUGUUUCUCUUCCACACUGCUUUGUUGCAUCCGUCAGAUAUUUAGGGUUUGAGAUCAAAUUCUAAAUCAUAGUUCUCAUUUUGAGCAUUUUCAUUCCUUUUACUAUCUCUGUCUCCUCCUAAUCAAUUUGGCAUUUAACCUUUUUUUAAAGGACGGGAAACUGGACACGCUGGAAUACAAGCAGGAUGUCGCAAAUGUUCGCAUGCUACAUUUGUAUAACUAUCUUGGAGGCAAAAGCACAAAACUGUCUGACAUGGUAGGGCUUCUCUUAAAUAGAUUUUUAUCCCUUUUGCGUUAAUGUGAUAUAUUCUUUUUUUUAUUUAACUUUUGGAUGCAACUUCAACUUCAUGUGAACCAGAAAGCUCGUAACUUGCUUUCAGAUGUUGAAACCAAGGGGUUGAAAAACUUUGCUUGAAGGCAAAUCUCACAGAGGGAGCAACAACGGUGGAAAAUAAUUGGUAUAACUAAGGCCAAUGACAAGUCGAGGCCAUUGUUAUCAAGGGUUGCUUCAGCUAGGUGUUGAUGUGGAAGUAUAUAACAACAAACAACAAACUCUUACUUAUACAAAAUGGUCUUGUGAGCAGGAGAAAACUUUCUUUUAUGCGUUGGCUUGGUAUUACUUGGGUCUUAUGAUGUUUUGGUUUGCACUUUGGAGGUACUUCCUUGAACUUGGAGUUUGCUUAUUGACAUGGGCAUUUGCUGUGUCCACUUUUGGACUUUGAACCAAUUAAAAUAAAUGAUCUGGGGGAGUUAUGAUUUAUAUACGUAGACAUUUGAUGAGAUUACGGUUCAAGGUAAACAUAUUGGAGUGGACACUGAGACGUUUUGGGACACUAUAAGGGAAAGACGUGGAGCAAAUUAUCUUUAUACGCAAGAAAUAUCACAUGAGACAAGUUUGAUCGUAUGUUCGGAUAUGCUGGGAGACCUUCUGGAUCAAGAGAGCUUCCAAGUAGUAUGGGAGAAGCGUCAGAAGCCUAAACGGACCAACUUCAUGCAACUCGCAAAGUAUAUGUUUCAAAUUUUUAAUCAGUACUCAAAUAUCUUUGUAGUUAACACUUUGUGAUGUUUAGAACUAAUUUAUUCUUAAAUUGUAUGUUUAUAUGAAUGGUGAAAAGAAUACAAAUUUGUGGCAUGGACUCUUUAUCGACGGCUACAUAAUGAACCAUCUUGCAUUUUCGGUUCACCGAUUCAAAGACUGGUUCAGUGACAUCAAUUUCAUCAAACAGCAUCAUGAAGAAAAUAGACUUAAACCAAUAUUCUGAAACCUGAUCCGGAUAGAUAUAUAA
This is a long non-coding RNA of Raphanus sativus (radish), 1981 nucleotides long. RefSeq lists it as uncharacterized. The record is from RefSeq and is a predicted model, not a curated record. NCBI's taxonomy places the organism in Eukaryota, Viridiplantae, Streptophyta, Magnoliopsida, Brassicales, Brassicaceae. The transcript is spliced from 4 exons.